GGGGACGUAAUGGUCUCGACAUUGGUCGUUUCGCCAGUGGUGCACUCCGGAGGCUCGGCUCCGUCAUCAACGGAACACAGUUUAUUAACUGCAAACAAUAACGAAACAUCCUACGCUCUGGCUGCCUAAGCAACCUUAGCGUGAUCCUCCCGUUAUCGCUCAAGUAGCGGAUCUGGGUCUCAAAUCAUUGAGCUACGGCUAGCUUCUCCCACCUGAAGAGCUAGCAAGAGACCAUCAGGUUAGCUCCAGGCGGUUAGCCCUGCGCGUCGGCGCGCGCCUGAAGUGAACUUCUAAGUAGGCGCACUAUGAGUGUAGAGCUGCUGGUAGAAAGGCUGAUGGACACGGGUUCGAUUCCCGUCGUCUCCAU
This 367-nucleotide transfer-messenger RNA is filed under the name uncultured Lacticaseibacillus sp. It matches the Rfam family "transfer-messenger RNA". From Rfam's summary of the family: Bacterial tmRNA, also known as 10Sa RNA or SsrA, is named for its dual tRNA and mRNA-like properties. The record is from RNAcentral. Lineage: Bacteria; Bacillati; Bacillota; Bacilli; Lactobacillales; Lactobacillaceae.